GGAUGUAGUUCAGUUGGUUAGAGCGUCAGAUUGUGGUUCUGAAUGUCGUGGGUUCGAAUCCCACCAC
Molecule: transfer RNA, 67 nt
Filed under: Prevotella melaninogenica
Lineage: Bacteria; Pseudomonadati; Bacteroidota; Bacteroidia; Bacteroidales; Prevotellaceae
Also listed under: 2 other names
Rfam family: tRNA
About the family: Transfer RNA (tRNA) molecules are approximately 80 nucleotides in length. Their secondary structure includes four short double-helical elements and three loops (D, anti-codon, and T loops).
Source: RNAcentral